UUAGCAGGGAAGAAGCGAAAGUGACGGUACCUGCAGAAAAAGCGGCGGCUAACUACGUGCCAGCAGCCGCGGUAAUACGUAGGGCGCAAGCGUUAUCCGGAAUUAUUGGGCGUAAAGAGCUCGUAGGCGGUUUGUCGCGUCUGCUGUGAAAUCCGGAGGCUCAACCUCCGGCCUGCAGUGGGUACGGGCAGACUAGAGUGCGGUAGGGGAGAUUGGAAUUCCUGGUGUAGCGGUGGAAUGCGCAGAUAUCAGGAGGAACACCGAUGGCGAAGGCAGAUCUCUGGGCCGUAACUGACGCUGAGGAGCGAAAGGGUGGGGAGCAAACAGGCUUAGAUACCCUGGUAGUCCACCCCGUAAACGUUGGGAACUAGUUGUGGGGUCCAUUCCACGGAUUCCGUGACGCAGCUAACGCAUUAAGUUCCCCGCCUGGGGAGUACGGCCGCAAGGCUAAAACUCAAAGGAAUUGACGGGGACCCGCACAAGCGGCGGAGCAUGCGGAUUAAUUCGAUGCAACGCGAAGAACCUUACCAAGGCUUGACAUAUACGAGAACGGGCCAGAAAUGGUCAACUCUUUGGACACUCGUAAACAGGUGGUGCAUGGUUGUCGUCAGCUCGUGUCGUGAGAUGUUGGGUUAAGUCCCGCAACGAGCGCAACCCUCGUUCUAUGUUGCCAGCACGUAAUGGUGGGAACUCAUGGGAUACUGCCGGGGUCAACUCGGAGGAAGGUGGGGAUGACGUCAAAUCAUCAUGCCCCUUAUGUCUUGGGCUUCACGCAUGCUACAAUGGCCGGUACAAAGGGCUGCAAUACCGCGAGGUGGAGCGAAUCCCAAAAAGCCGGUCCCAGUUCGGAUUGAGGUCUGCAACUCGACCUCAUGAAGUCGGAGUCGCUAGUAAUCGCAGAUCAGCAACGCUGCGGUGAAUACGUUCCCGGGUCUUGUACACACCGCCCGUCAAGUCAUGAAAGUCGGUAACACCUGAAGCCGGUGGCCUAACCCUUGUGGAGGGAGCCGUCGAAGGGGAUACG
RNAcentral lists this ribosomal RNA (1024 nucleotides) under Microbacterium sp. RNAcentral describes it as "bacterial SSU rRNA". It matches the Rfam family "Bacterial small subunit ribosomal RNA", at positions 434 to 1469 of the family's 1533-position model. The record is from RNAcentral. Lineage: Bacteria; Bacillati; Actinomycetota; Actinomycetes; Micrococcales; Microbacteriaceae.